CCUACGGGAGGCAGCAGUGGGGAAUUUUGGACAAUGGGCGCAAGCCUGAUCCAGCCAUGCCGCGUGCGGGAAGAAGGCCUUCGGGUUGUAAACCGCUUUUGUCAGGGAAGAAACGCUCUGGGUUAAUACCCUGGAGUAAUGACGGUACCUGAAGAAUAAGCACCGGCUAACUACGUGCCAGCAGCCGCGGUAAUACGUAGGGUGCGAGCGUUAAUCGGAAUUACUGGGCGUAAAGCGUGCGCAGGCGGUUGUGCAAGACAGAUGUGAAAUCCCCGGGCUCAACCUGGGAACUGCAUUUGUGACUGCACGGCUUGAGUGCGGCAGAGGGGGAUGGAAUUCCGCGUGUAGCAGUGAAAUGCGUAGAUAUGCGGAGGAACACCGAUGGCGAAGGCAAUCCCCUGGGCCUGCACUGACGCUCAUGCACGAAAGCGUGGGGAGCAAACAGGAUUAGAUACCCUGGUAGUCCACGCCCUAAACGAUGUCAACUGGUUGUUGGACGGCUUGCUGUUCAGUACGAGCUAACGCGUGAAGUUGACCGCCUGGGGAGUUACGGCGCGAAGGUUGAAACUUCAAGGAUUGACGGCUUGNGAGNGCGAGCGCGACGAGGAGGAGG
Molecule: ribosomal RNA, 613 nt
Filed under: uncultured bacterium
Lineage: Bacteria
Description: bacterial SSU rRNA
Rfam family: Bacterial small subunit ribosomal RNA
Source: RNAcentral